GUGGCUAGUCGAAUUCUAAGGGCUAGAACUCUUAAAGCAAGGUGAAGGAGUGUUGUCCUUGGUUCAAUUUUCGUGUGGAUCACCAUUGGAGGGUGGACACUUGAAUACCUUGUGAAAAUUAGAUUAGUGCUACCAGUAUUCUUCUGAUUCAAAUUUAUUUUAAUUGUAAUUUGAUUGAUAUAGUCAAGGAUUUUUGGACAUUAAGAUUUUCGACGCAUCGGGUGUUUAAAAUGAAAUUUUAAACACCUAACCCUUCCGCUGUUCCAUUAGAAUCCAACAUUCAGGAGGUCAGGAGAUCCUACUAGAUCCAUGAGAUGGUUAAGAAAUAU
Molecule: long non-coding RNA, 329 nt
Filed under: Elaeis guineensis (African oil palm)
Lineage: Eukaryota; Viridiplantae; Streptophyta; Magnoliopsida; Arecales; Arecaceae
Description: long non-coding RNA (EGUI_LNC067426)
Source: RNAcentral